CAGUACCAUAUUUCUAUAUUACAGUAAAAUACUGUAAUUUAUAUUGCAUUCUGGGUAAUUUUGAUUGAGCAGGAAUAUUUUACAGUACAUUUUAGUGUUGCUGUAACCCUGCUGUAACCUGGCUGUAAUAUACCAGGCAAUAAUACAGGAUUGCUGUAAAUAACGCGCCACCUGACGUCACAUCACACAGACAGAAGAACACGGCCGCUGGUGACUGGAGAAGCAGAACGGUGUAUUUCUGGAAGUUUGCAGUGUGGUCCACUUGUCUUUGCAUCCUGGGAAGUGCAUUGCUUUCACAAGGAAGCGUAUUUUUUUGGCAUUGAAGGAAAGAAAUGUACUGCCCGACAGGGAGUGAGCAGAAGACCAGGACGGUGGUGCAGAGUGAUGGCCAUCAACCCACAUGUCAACAGCUUCGUUCGGUCCUUUGUGUUUAAAUGGAAGACUUCACACUGAGGGACUGUGGCCUGUUUGCAACCAUCCACGUGCCCUUCAG
Long non-coding RNA from Megalobrama amblycephala (Wuchang bream), 493 nucleotides. RefSeq lists it as uncharacterized. Lineage: Eukaryota; Metazoa; Chordata; Actinopteri; Cypriniformes; Xenocyprididae. The transcript is spliced from 3 exons. The record is from RefSeq and is a predicted model, not a curated record.